This 1779-nucleotide ribosomal RNA is filed under the name fermentation metagenome. RNAcentral's name for it is "bacterial LSU rRNA". It matches the Rfam family "Bacterial large subunit ribosomal RNA", at positions 834 to 2494 of the family's 2925-position model. The record is from RNAcentral.
CGAACCCGGAGAUAGCUGGUUCUCCCCGAAAUAGCUUUAGGGCUAGCCUCAGGGGAAGUCUAACGGAGGUAAAGCACUGAAUGGGCUAGGGGCCUUACCGGGUUACCGAACCCUAUCAAACUCAGAAUGCCGUAUAGAUAAUACCUGGGAGUCAGACUGCGAGAGAUAAGUUCCGUAGUCAAAAGGGAAAAAGCCCAGACCAACAGCUAAGGUCCCAAAAUCACGAUUAAGUGGGAAAGGAUGUGGGCUUGCUAAGACAGCUAGGAUGUUGGCUUAGAAGCAGCCACUCAUUCAAAGAGUGCGUAAUAGCUCACUAGUCGAGUGAGCCUGCGCCGAAAAUAACCGGGGCUAAAUCGUGUACCGAAGCUAUGGAUGCGUAUAUGUUUACUGGUGGAACCGACCGUAGGAAGCGGGGGUAUUUAGCAGGAAAACAACCUUGAAAAUUCAAAGGGAGUUUUCCGACAAAUUACCUCUCGGCUAAACGUGUAGAGGUCGGAAUCAGCAGUAAACAUAUACGCGUGGUAGGGGAGCUUACCGUAGUAGGCAGAAGGCCGACCGGAAGGACGGCUGGACGAGGCGGUAGUGAGAAUGCCGGAAUAAGUAGCGAGAGUAAAGUGAGAAUCUUUACCGUCGAAAACCUGAGGAUUCCUGGGGAAGGUUCGUCCGCCCAGGGUAAGUCGGGGCCUAAGGCGAGGCCGAAAGGCGUAGUCGAUGGGGAACAGGUUGAAAUUCCUGUACUGCCGAUGCUCAAUUGAGAGAAGUGGGGACGCAGGAGGAUAAGUUAAGCGAGCAGCUGGAAGAGCUCGCCCAAGGGAAAAAGACAGUCCGGCAGGAAAAGCCGCCGGAUGGUUCAAAAGCCUGAUGGGGAGGGAAAUUAGAGUACCGAAGUAACUGAUUCCACACUGACGAGAAAAGCCACUAUCGAGAGCAGAGGUACCCGUACCGCAAACCGACACAGGUAGGUGAGGAGAGAAUCCUAAGACGAGCGGGAGAAGCGUUGUUAAGGAACUCGGCAAAUUAACCCCGUAAGUUCGCGAGAAGGGGUGCCUCGAAAGAGGCCGCAGUGAAAAGGCCCAAGCAACUGUUUAUCAAAAACACAGGUCUCUGCUAAAUCGAAAGAUGACGUAUAGGGGCUGACGCCUGCCCGGUGCUGGAAGGUUACGGGGAAUUGUUAACUGAAAAGUGAAGCAAUGAACUUAAGCCCCAGUAAACGGCGGCCGUAACUAUAACGGUCCUAAGGUAGCGAAAUUCCUUGUCAGGUAAGUUCUGACCCGCACGAAUGGCGUAAUGACUUGGGCACUGUCUCGACAACGUACCCGGCGAAAUUGUAGUACUUGUGAAGAUGCAAGUUACCCGCGGCUAGACGGAAAGACCCCAUGGAGCUUUACUGCAGCCUGAUACUGGGUUUCGGUAUUCUUUGUACAGGAUAGGUGGGAGACUGAGAGGCGUAGGCGUCAGUUUACGCGGAGUCGACGUUGGGAUACCACUCUAAGAGUACUGGAACUCUAACCAGAGACCAUAAGCUGGUUUUGGGACACUGUCAGGCGGGCAGUUUGACUGGGGCGGUCGCCUCCCAAAGAGUAACGGAGGCGUCCAAAGGUUACCUCAGCGCGGAUGGAAAUCGCGCAUUGAGUGCAAAGGCAUAAGGUAGCCUGACUGUGAGAGAGACAACUCGAGCAGAUACGAAAGUAGGGCUUAGUGAUCCGGUGGUAUGAAAGUGGAAUUGCCAUCGCUCAACGGAUAAAAGCUACCCUGGGGAUAACAGGCUUAUCUCCCCCA